Molecule: ribosomal RNA, 253 nt
Filed under: uncultured bacterium
Lineage: Bacteria
Description: partial 16S ribosomal RNA
Rfam family: Bacterial small subunit ribosomal RNA
Source: RNAcentral
UACGGAGGGGGCUAGCGUUGUUCGGAAUUACUGGGCGUAAAGCGCACGUAGGCGGCUUUGUAAGUUAGAGGUGAAAGCCCGGGGCUCAACUCCGGAACUGCCUUUAAGACUGCAUCGCUCGAAUCAUGGAGAGGUCAGUGGAAUUCCGAGUGUAGAGGUGAAAUUCGUAGAUAUUCGGAAGAACACCAGUGGCGAAGGCGACUGACUGGACAUGUAUUGACGCUGAGGUGCGAAAGCGUGGGGAGCAAACAGG